UAUAAUGUUUUGACUUUUCAUUUUAUUUAAAAAUUUUUUGUAAUUAAUAUUUUUAUUCUUACAUAAAAUAUGAAUAGUACUUUAUGCAUGACUAAUUUUUUUAAGUUUUUCUAUAAAUUUUUCAAAUAAGACGAAUGGUUAAACGUUGGACACGGAAA
Molecule: microRNA precursor, 158 nt
Filed under: Oryza brachyantha (malo sina)
Lineage: Eukaryota; Viridiplantae; Streptophyta; Magnoliopsida; Poales; Poaceae
Description: MIR812 microRNA precursor family
Rfam family: MIR812 microRNA precursor family
Source: Rfam by way of RNAcentral